This 467-nucleotide ribosomal RNA is filed under the name uncultured Massilia sp. RNAcentral's name for it is "bacterial SSU rRNA". It matches the Rfam family "Bacterial small subunit ribosomal RNA", at positions 917 to 1381 of the family's 1533-position model. Lineage: Bacteria; Pseudomonadati; Pseudomonadota; Betaproteobacteria; Burkholderiales; Oxalobacteraceae. The record is from RNAcentral.
GACGGGACCGCACAAGCGGUGGAUGAUGUGGAUUAAUUCGAUGCAACGCGAAAACCUUACCUACCCUUGACAUGUCCGGAAUCCCGAAGAGAUUUGGGAGUGCUCGAAAGAGAGCCGUAACACAGGUGCUGCAUGGCUGUCGUCAGCUCGUGUCGUGAGAUGUUGGGUUAAGUCCCGCAACGAGCGCAACCCUUGUCAUUAGUUGCUACAUUUAGUUGGGCACUCUAAUGAGACUGCCGGUGACAAACCGGAGGAAGGUGGGGAUGACGUCAAGUCCUCAUGGCCCUUAUAGGUAGGGCUACACACGUCAUACAAUGGAUGGUACAAAGGGUCGCCAACCCGCGAGGGGGAGCCAAUCCCACAAAGCCGGUCGUAGUCCGGAUCGCAGUCUGCAACUCGACUGCGUGAAGUCGGAAUCGCUAGUAAUCGCGGAUCAGCAUGUCGCGGUGAAUACGUUCCCGGGUCUU